UAUUAAUUUAAUAUUUGAUUUUUUUAUCUAAUCUAAGUUUGGCCGGUUAACCGUAGUUAGCAGAUCCUUUAGGGUGCCUAAUCCUUUCCCUUUAGGAUAAAUAGAAUCCUUACCUAGAAUUUUAGGUUUUGUAGACCUUAAAAUGAAGUCAUUAUUUAUUUUAAUCACGUAGUUUGUAAUAGGUGUCCUAAUUCAUCGUAGAACUAAUUAGGUGGCGACUUCCUUAAAUUUAACUCCGAAGUUUUUCAAUAUGUUGUACACUAUUUUGACCCGUGUUAAAAUGGGUAUAACAAUUAUUUUUCCAUUCUCCUUUAAGAACAUAUAGUCCACCCUCUUGUCUACCAAUCCCCUUCACCUUGCCAUUGAAGAGGUCCUGAAAUACACAGAAAUCAGGAUAAAAGGACACAAAGCAUGACAGUUCCUUGGUUAUCUUAAACAACAAAUUUAGUCUAAAAUCUGGAAUAAAGAGGUCAUCUUUGAUCACAUCAUCUGUAAACAUAUAGGCUUCUCCAGUGUGGGAAAUUGUGACUUCAUCACUUAUUGGAAGGUGCAAUUUGUCCAAGUGUCUUGGAACCAGGCUGGUGCUAUCUUUGAACAAGUGUCUAUGGGCAGACACAUGAUGUGUAGCUCCUGAAUCUACAAUCCAACUGUCAGAACAAGCCUCAGUUAAAAAAACAAAUGAAUUCACAUCAUGACUGGAACUGGCAGCAUCACCUGGUCCUACUACCAUGCUUGCAGAAGACUUGCUACCAGUGCUAGUAUAGUUGUUACCCCUAUUAUGUGGUGAGAAAUUGUUACCACCAGCAUUAUGUGACCUGAAAUUUGGAGGAGUAUAACCUUGUUUUUGUUGCAGUUAUCUUCUUGUAUCCUAGUUUUAGUAGAACUCUAUUUUGUAUUUAUUCUUGUACUUAUCGGUUAGAUAGAUAUAUGUUGUAAUUCCACUUUAUAAAUACAAAAAUAUAGAAUGAGCAAGGCUCACACUUUAACCCUUCACUUUAUCUAUUUCGUCUUGGUAUCAAAGCCUUAAACGAUCCUUUCCAUGGCUUUAGAAAUUUACUCAUCUCAGACCACCACUACCUCUGCUCAAACUGCCAUAAUUCAAUCUUCUCUUGGCCUUCCAAAUCCCCCUCCAACAGUUUCCAAUAUCAAAGGUUUUGUUCCUAUUGAAUUGACAUACGUCAACUACCUUACUUUGAAGAAAGUUUUUCUCACCGACCUUAAAAGUCACAAUCUUCUUUCCUUAGUAGAUGGAACCUUACCAUGUCCACCACUAGAACAUGCUGAUUUCAGGCUAUGGAUUCAGUGUCAUCCUAUUGCAUUAAGUUGGAUUAAUGAAACCCUUUCUUCCGCUAUUCUUGACACACUUUUGAACUAUGAUUGUGAGACAUCAAAACAAGCUUGGGACACCUUAGCCUCCCUAUAUUUAGAUCAAGUCUCUUCCUCUAUAAUUCACCUCAAGUCUAAAUUCCAAAACUUAAAAAAAAGGGUCCCUUUCUAUGGAGGAUUAUCUUCAAAAACUUCACUCGAUUGCCUGCUCCCUCAGAGAAAUUGGUAAACCUGUAACUGAUGAUGAUCUUGUCACUGAAGCGCUUCAAGGAUUACCUUCAUCUUAUCGUACCUUUGUGUCUGGAUUAAAUGCUACUGGUGCACUUCCUUCCUUCAUUACAUUACGACCACUCCUUCUUACUGAAGAAGCUCACAUUAAUGCAAAUACUUUUGAAGAGUCAAAUUCUCAAACCGUUUUAUUGGUGGCAACUCAAGGAAAUAACACUUCUAAUUUAUCAUUAUCUGUUAAUGGAAAUCAGUCAUAUCAGUCAUCUGUUAAUGGAAAUCAAUUUGCAAAAGGAUACUACAAUUGACGAGGCUGUGGUAGAAAUAAUAAGGGUCAACACGGUAGAGGCCGAGCUUACCAGAACUCUUCAUGGUAUGGUUUCCAACAACAAUCUCGGCCUUCUUCCCCUGGUACUGGUAUUUUGGGUAAAUCCCCUUUCUCUCCCGUUAAGCAAUGUCAAAUUUGUUUUCACUAUAAUCACACUGUGUUGGAGUGUAGAAACAGGUUCAAUCAUUCGUUUGUGGCUAACAAUAUUCCUCAAUAAUUUGCUGCCAUGAAUUUGGAGGAGGUUCAACCAAUAGUUUGGUAUCCAGACUCUGGGGCAUCUGCACACAUGACUCCUGAUCCUUCUACUCUUAUUCUCACACUCCUUAUUCUGGUUCUUCUCAAGUUAUGGUUGGAGAUGGACAUGAAGACUGGAUCAUCAUUACUCCACUAUAAUAAUUCUGGGUCCCUCUAUCCUCUGCUUGUUGCUCCAUCCAGCUCUUCCAGCCUUGGUCUCUUUGCUAAAAUUCUGCCUACUUCACUUUGGCACCAGCAUCUAGGACAUCCUGGCCAAGAAUCUCUUAGCUCUUUAGUUGUUAGAAAAUUGAUAAGUAGUACUUCUUCUAUUAGCAAUAAUUCUUGUAAUGUUUGUCAUUUAGGCAAGCAAACUCCAA
This is a long non-coding RNA of Capsicum annuum, 2490 nucleotides long. RefSeq lists it as uncharacterized. Lineage: Eukaryota; Viridiplantae; Streptophyta; Magnoliopsida; Solanales; Solanaceae. The transcript is spliced from 3 exons. The record is from RefSeq and is a predicted model, not a curated record.